This is a long non-coding RNA of Rosa rugosa (rugosa rose), 849 nucleotides long. RefSeq lists it as uncharacterized. The transcript is spliced from 3 exons. The record is from RefSeq and is a predicted model, not a curated record. NCBI's taxonomy places the organism in Eukaryota, Viridiplantae, Streptophyta, Magnoliopsida, Rosales, Rosaceae.
UUUUACCAAUAACUACAAAAUGACACUACUAUUUACUAAUAGCAGACUCCAAAACUAAUAGCUCAUGCGGCCAAUAAUUGAAACAGGCUGUCAGCCCAUUUUAUAGAAAAAACACUCAAAUAUUAAAAAAAUUACGAAACAUGCCACUGAGACUCACAUAACCCAUUUCUCCCAAAAUCAGAACGGUUCCAAAAUCGAAACCAUCCCAAAAUCCAAAUCCUCCCUAAAUCGAUCUAGGGCUCCGACAAAGGUAGGGGACGAAGCAGUUGGCGGAUUGAGGCGGCGAAGCAACUGGCGAAGCGAGGCUGCGAAGCAACCGGCGAAGCGAGGCUGCGAAGCCAGGGAAGUGAGGCGGCGAAGGGAGGCUGCGAAGGGAGCAUCAAAUCUCUGAUUCUCUUUCGCUUUCCUUUCACUAUAUUUCUAAGCUUGGCUUAUACCAGCUCAUGGAUCCCUUCGAUUUGGUGCAAAAAGGGCUCAGCAACAUUUUGUUUGUAGGAUGGAGCUAAUGAAAGCAAUGCUGAUGUGAGCAAACGCAAGAAGGCCAGGCUAGUAUACUACUGGGGGUCAGUAUACUACUGGGGAUCAGUACACUACUGAUCGAGGGUCAGUAUACUACUGGGGGUCAAUAUACUACUGAGGGUCAGUACUCCAAGAAAUCCUGCUGGAGAAACUUCUUCACCAUGAGAAGAUGUGAAAUUCAAUACAACUUGUAUGUGCAAGCAGCAAAGCCAGAAAUAAAUGAUAUAUUGUUCAAGUUUCAUAUUGUAAUAUUUAUAAAUAGUUUUUGGAAUUAUUAAAUAAAUGAGUUGUUUAUAAGAAAAACAAAGAUGGAAUAUAGAAAUAUUAUUU